RNAcentral lists this ribosomal RNA (256 nucleotides) under uncultured bacterium. RNAcentral's name for it is "partial 16S ribosomal RNA". It matches the Rfam family "Bacterial small subunit ribosomal RNA", at positions 524 to 776 of the family's 1533-position model. The record is from RNAcentral.
AACGUAGGAGACAAACGUUAUCCGGAGUUACUGGGCGUAAAGGGCGUGUAGGUGGUAAUGUAAGUCUGGCGUGAAAUUUUUCGGCUUAACCGGGAAGGUCGUCGGAUACUGCAUCACUAGAGGACGGUAGAGGCGUGUGGAAUUCCGGGUGUAGUGGUGAAAUGCAUAGAGAUCCGGAAGAACACCGACGGCGAAGGCAGCGUCCUGGCCGAGCGACUGACGCUCGAGGCACGGAAAGCCGCGGGGAGCGAACGGG